Syngnathus acus (greater pipefish) is the source of this 194-nucleotide long non-coding RNA. RefSeq lists it as uncharacterized. The transcript is spliced from 2 exons. Lineage: Eukaryota; Metazoa; Chordata; Actinopteri; Syngnathiformes; Syngnathidae. The record is from RefSeq and is a predicted model, not a curated record.
GCAAAGUUGGUCUUCACGCUACAUCAAAAACUAACCGAGACCAGGAUGAGGCGGAAAACAAGUUUAUUGCAAAACGAAUAAAAGAACACAAAAUGCGGGCGCUCACGGCGACGCUGGGUGGAGCUCCGGCUUGGAUUUUGCCGCUCCUUCUCUGGACAGCCUGUCUGCUUCCUCGUUGCCUUUGUAGCCCGCGU